Ipomoea nil (Japanese morning glory) is the source of this 526-nucleotide long non-coding RNA. RefSeq lists it as uncharacterized. NCBI's taxonomy places the organism in Eukaryota, Viridiplantae, Streptophyta, Magnoliopsida, Solanales, Convolvulaceae. The transcript is spliced from 2 exons. The record is from RefSeq and is a predicted model, not a curated record.
CUGACGCGCCUGGUGAAUUAUUCUCCAUUCGUUCUAUCGCUCCUCUCUGUUCGCAGGUGUGUAGACGGUAUCUGCAAAUCGCAUCGGCUUGGCUGCUUUCCUCCUUCGUUCUUCACUUCCUAACAAUGGUCGUCGGCCGGUUCGAAGUGUCGGCCGUAGUAAGAGGUCAAAAGAGACACUAUUAAGCUUCACAAACUAAGGCCUCAAUACAAGAAGGAUAUUGGCCUUUGAAUACAAUGCGGAUAGAUCAACAAAUUUAGCUCGGGUGUACCAACAUAUUUUGGACCUUCUGCCUUCCAUUUAGGGGUGCACUUCCCACUGUUUAGGAUAUGAUUAGACUUGCUACUGUUUAAACUAUUAAUCUUAAGUUUUUUGCCCCAUGGGUCUUCUGUACGUUUUUUGUCCUUGUUGACACUUUGUAUAUACCUAUCGUCUGUUACUUUGUCCCCUGGGAAUAUUUUGAUCGCUACCCAGUGUGUAUUAUGGUUUUCGCUAUCUCAAAGUUGGCACAUUUAAAAUUGGUUUA